AUGGUGACCGAACGGAUCGGCAACCUGGCGUACCGUCUUCAUCUUCCAGCCGACAGCCGAAUCCAUCCGGUAUUUCAUGUUUCUCAGCUGAAGCCGUACACCCCUGAUUACACUCCCGUCUUCUCCGAGCUGCCGCAGGUGCCAGAUUUGGUCACCAGUGAGACGGAACCAGUGGCCAUUGUGGAGCGUCGUAUGAUGAAGAAAGGAGAUGCGCCAGUAAUUCAGCUACAAGUGCAGUGG
Molecule: ribosomal RNA, 240 nt
Filed under: Triticum aestivum (bread wheat)
Lineage: Eukaryota; Viridiplantae; Streptophyta; Magnoliopsida; Poales; Poaceae
Description: partial small subunit ribosomal RNA
Source: RNAcentral